Transfer RNA from Camelus ferus (Wild Bactrian camel), 71 nucleotides. It matches the Rfam family "tRNA". From Rfam's summary of the family: Transfer RNA (tRNA) molecules are approximately 80 nucleotides in length. Their secondary structure includes four short double-helical elements and three loops (D, anti-codon, and T loops). Further hydrogen bonds mediate the characteristic L-shaped molecular structure. tRNAs have two regions of fundamental functional importance: the anti-codon, which is responsible for specific mRNA codon recognition, and the 3' end, to which the tRNAs corresponding amino acid is attached (by aminoacyl-tRNA synthetases). tRNAs cope with the degeneracy of the genetic code in two manners: having more than one tRNA (with a specific anti-codon) for a particular amino acid; and 'wobble' base-pairing, i.e. permitting non-standard base-pairing at the 3rd anti-codon position. The record is from Rfam. Lineage: Eukaryota; Metazoa; Chordata; Mammalia; Artiodactyla; Camelidae.
GAGGGCAUAGCUCAGUAGUAGAGCAUGUGCCCAGCACGCACGAGGUCCUGGGUGCAAUCCCCAGGCCUCCA